UAGGGAAUCUUCCACAAUGGACGCAAGUCUGAUGGAGCAACGGCCGCGUGAGUGAAGAAGGUUUUCGGACCGUAAAGCUCUGUUGUUGGUGAAGAAGGAUAGAGGUAGUAACUGGCCUUUAUUUGACGGUAAUCAACCAGAAAGUCACGGCUAACUACGUGCCAGCAGCCGCGGUAAUCGUAGGUGGCAAGCGUUGUCCGGAUUUAUUGGGCGUAAAGCGAGCGCAGGCGGAAGAAUAAGUCUGAUGUGAAAGCCCUCGGCUUAACCGAGGAAUUGCAUCGGAAACUGUUUUCUUGAGUGCAGAAGAGGAGAGUAGAACUCCAUGUGUAGCGGUGGAAUGCGUAGAUAUACGGAAGAAUACCAGUGGCGAAGGCGGCUCUCUGGUCUGCAACUGACGCUGAGGCUCGAAAGCAUGGGUAGCGAACAGGAUUAGAUACCCUGGUAGUCCAUGCCGUAAACGAUGAGUGCUAAGUGUUGGGAGGCUUCCGCCUCUCAGUGCUGCAGCUAACGCAUUAAGCACUCCGCCUGGGGGAGUACGACCGCAAGGUUGAAAC
RNAcentral lists this ribosomal RNA (554 nucleotides) under uncultured bacterium. Its description in RNAcentral is "partial 16S ribosomal RNA". It matches the Rfam family "Bacterial small subunit ribosomal RNA", at positions 355 to 900 of the family's 1533-position model. The record is from RNAcentral.